Molecule: non-coding RNA, 73 nt
Organism: Penaeus vannamei (Pacific white shrimp)
Lineage: Eukaryota; Metazoa; Arthropoda; Malacostraca; Decapoda; Penaeidae
Source: the annotation of a RefSeq genome assembly
GUCGCGGUAGCCGAGUGGUGACGGCACUUGCCUCCCAUGUAGAAGGUCCCGGGUUCAAUCCCCGUCCGCGGCA